RNAcentral lists this long non-coding RNA (9564 nucleotides) under Ananas comosus (pineapple). RNAcentral's name for it is "long non-coding RNA (ACOM_LNC042375)". Lineage: Eukaryota; Viridiplantae; Streptophyta; Magnoliopsida; Poales; Bromeliaceae. The record is from RNAcentral.
UCAAUGAGAAAAAGUACUCAGUUUCAAAGUUGUACGUAGCGCAACUAGUAUCUAAUUUUGUUUCGAUUAUGUUCUUCUGAACUUGACCAUCGAUUCGUUCCAAAAUUUACAACCCUCGGUGCCAUAAUAGAACAAAUAAUUAGGUAUUUGCUCUUUGAUUAUUAGAAUAGAAAAAGCUCUAGUUGCAAAGUUAUACUGUUAAGGCUCAACUGAGUAGUCUGACGUUGCUCCGAUUUUGGUUCUUGUGAACGUUGACAUCGUUUCGUUCCAAAUUUACACUCUCGGGGCAUAAUAGAAAGCUUUUACUCCUUAUUCGAUAGAAUGAGAAAAAGUACUCGUUACAAAGUUAUACUGUAAUGGUGCAACAGAGUAGUCUAAUGUGGGAGAACUCCUGUUAGUAGUCCGCCACCGAACGAACCCCUUGCCUCAAUUUGCGAAACCUCUCCUUUAGCCUUCGCUUUUCGGUGUCGGGGAAAUAAUUUUCAAACAUCUCCUUCUUAAACUCCUCCCAGAGCAUUGGUGGAAGGUCAGAGGGUCGAUCCCGCUUCAACCGCUUCCACCACACCUUCGUCGCCUUGUCGAGGCAAUGUGUGGCGAAAGGCACCUUAUCUUUCUCCGGGGUGUAUAGGUCCUCGAAGAUGGUCUCCAUAGAGUCUACCCAAGACUCCACCACCGACGGCUCCACUUUUCCCCGUUCAAAAGUUGGUGUCUUAAACUUCAUGAACUUCAUCAGAGCCGUCAGCGCACGUUCCCGCUCCACUUCGUCAGCCGUCGUAUUGAGUGUCGCCGAACCCGAAGCUGUCGGAGGCGCACUUGUCAGCGGGGGAACCGCCGCCAUCGGAACCGCCGCUAUGCCCUCACCCUCAGCCUCUACCGGCGUGGGUGUCGAAGGUGCGGGCGGAUCGCGAUCUCCUACCGCCGUCGCGGCCGUCGCCGCUGCCGCUUGCCGCUCCACAACUUCCUGGAGUUGCUCGAAUCGAGCCUCCUGGCGCUGCAUCGCGCCCAACAUUGCAGCGACCUGCUCCCGCAGCUCCUGCACUUCCUCCGAUCUCGGCUGCGCGGGCUCCGCAGAAGGCGGUACCGGAGCAGACCUACGCACGUAACGCCUUGGGGACAUUUGCUCCUGAAAAGCAACAACUCGGUUAGUUAUCUCAAUCCGAUAACUUCCUCAACAUUCACGAAAUUAAACGUCCCGACAACGAAAUCGGGCGGAAGCUCACAAGUGUUCCAGUUCUGGACUCUUAGCGCCGCGUCGUCGGCCGCCGACACAACCGCUACGAGCCGAGAAACUAGUAUCACUUGGAUCCGGCUCUAUUCACGGGUAGAGACAUAACACCAACUUCGACCCAAUCAAUCAACUUCCACCAUCGCCAUGGGUUCACAUUCACUCACGUCCCUAUAACCUUAGGGUUUACCAGCCUAGGGUCUCCUAGGUCAUUCUAGACUCUCUCUUUACUUACUCUGGUGCUCUGAUACCACUUUAUCUGUCACGCCCCGAAACCGAUACUAAUUUGGUCCAGUUCGGGCGCAUCGAACAGAUGUCGAACGGACAGCACCUCCCCUGUCUGCCCAAGGCCAACAGCGAGAUCAUGUACAACAAGUUCCCAGGAAAUUACUUGAAUACAUACAUGAUCACUGAACAACUACGAGGGGAGCACAAUCAGUGCUAAACGACUAAGAGCAAGAUACAAGUAUAAGAUAUACAAGUAAUGAUAACGAGAGGAACAUCUAUCUAUUACAUUCAUUCAGCCUUUAUAAUACAAUUUGAUUAUACAUUAAGCUUCUAAACAUAAUAUAAAGCUUACAUCUUCCAAAAUAUAAACAUUAGCUUACAUUCAUUCCAGAAUAUCUCACAUCCUAUACAUCAUCUACUCUCAAUGCAUAUAAAGGUGACUCUAAUGCAGAAAUAGGAAAGUAAGCUAAUGCAACUAGGGCGCUAGGCCCUUACCGCGAUGCUCGCCGUGUGAACUCGCGCUCGGCCCUGUAGCAAAAUGGGGGUGAGAACUAACUUCCUUAGUUCCCAGUGGGUUCGGCCGCCGACUCCGCCGAUCUCCUCACUAGGUCCAAGUGGGCACAAGCAAAUAACCAGGUAGAUAGAUAGGUAAUAAGCAAAGCGGUAAAGACAAGAUAGUAAAACUACACUACUAUGCCCGAAUCAUAAACAUAUGGAUGCAUGUACAAUGAAAUGGUAAACAACUAAUCCGUCAACAUGUCCAAAAAGUAAAGCUAUGCACUUAUUCAUCAAUCUCAUUUACUUGUUUCUUAAUCUCGUAGCUUCUCUGAAAGCUCGCCUACUGCUCACUAGCCAUCUCGAAGGUAUGGAGGGUCAACUCGCACUACGAACCGAGAUCGUCUGCUGGGACCCAAAAUAGGCAAUCCCUUGGGAUCCAAAAUAGGCAAUCCCACGUGACCAACUCCGGAGCGCACUACUUGUGUGGGGCUUCCAUCACAAGAUUUAAAAACAGACCGUGAGCAUGAUCCAAUCUCCUCGUCUCGAGAAUACCCUAUCCUCUAGGGUUACAAUCAUCAUAUAGUCCAUAGGCGUCGUAUACACCAAGUUUAACAUGUAUCACUUGUUUUCUUAUACACUAUCAACUAGAUUCCCACUCGUCCAUUGGUUUACUAUCGACUAGAUGCCACUCGUUCUUUGUUUAUCAUUAGACCAACCAUUGAGCCCAUCUCUUUCUCUGCACUAUAGGAUUCACAAGUCUCGACCCAAUCCUUAUCGAUCCACUAUGUCAAGUAUCCAAUACAUGCUACGAUAUCAUCAAGGAAAGCAUAAGGAAAGGCAAUGCACAAUCAUCCUAUAAUGCAAUAAUACAAGAUGCAGAAUCGAAAUGUACUAAGACAUUGAAGGGAGCCCGAUUGCUUCGGGAUGGACGCCACCCACCUCUUGGUGAUGCCACGAUGAUAGAAAACUCGACGUUGCGGUUCUUGCGCGUCGCCCUAACUCCUCGGGGCGAAGCGAGCCCUCAAGUACCCGAUUCGGCGAUUUCUCCGCACCCGCUCGUCGGAUCGAGAAACCGACUUCGCCGACGCGUUCCGGGACCUAGCAAUUAGGUUUGCGACCUAAUAGAUUAGAUCAAAACCCUAGAUUUCCAAAAUCCCAAUUCCGUGCCCUAGAAUGGCAACGGGGGAGAAAUCCGUGAUGCGAGCUUCGAUUGCGAGCCCGAACCACCUAUUCAUCUCCUCUAGGUUCCAUUUGAACCAAUUCUAAGCAAUAAAACCCAAUCCUAAGAAAUCUAUCAUGGGUGGGUUUGGAGCUUACCUCUAAGCCAAGCUCCAAGCUCGCUCUAGCUUGAAGGAGAGAGGGAAGAAGACCUUCUUCUUCUUCUUCUUGGACUUCUUCUUCACUUCUUCCUCUUUUCCUUCUUUUCUUUCUUCUCCUUCUUCUUCUCCUUCUUUUCUUUCUAGAGAGAGAGAGAGGGAAAGAGUGUGGGAGGGAGAAAGAGCAAAUGACAGGGAGAGAGAGGUCCCCCAACCUCUAUUAAAGGUCAUUUUGCAGAUAGCUCCGUCAACUUUUCAUCUUCUGAACAAGCCCUCUCUGGGCAUUUUCGCAGUGAGGGACCGGUCCCAGCUCGGGGAGACCGGUCCCUGAGAGCCUUCCAUCUCGGGUAGAAGGAUUUCGCGUUCGGGAACCGGUCCUUGCCUGAGAGACCGGUCCCCGGGAGACCGGUCCUUGUCCGAGAGACCGGUUCCCCAGAGUUGGGUUUUCGGGACUUAGCCAAAUUUCGGCUAUUUUCGCUGGGCUAACGUUCGGGAACCGGUCCCUGCCUGCCAGGGACCGGUCUCAUCAGAGACCCCCGCAGCCCAGCCUGAUGGAACCGGUCCCUCCCUGCCAAGGACUGGUCCCCGAGAGCAAUUCUGCUCCAGUGCAGAUUUUGCACUGGUACUCCCGCGGACCCUUCUUUAAUGCACUUUAUGCAUUAUAACCACCUUCGGACUUUCCGAAGCUUACACACUCGACGAAUAGUCGAUUCCAAACCAAAGUCUAAUCCUCGAGUUUCGAGAAUUCACUUCCUAACAUUCACGAUCACAAGGAGCACCACUGGUGUUAACAACUAAGAGCAAGGUUGUAAGGAAGUGAAUUCUCGAAAUACGAGGAUUGUACUUCAUCCAGGAUCGACUGAUUGUCGAAAGUAUACCCUUUGUGGGAGUUGAGAAUGUCCAAAGCACAAAAAGUGCCUUGGAGUUGAGUCCGCGAGAGCAAAUGAGGCAAACUGCAUCAUUGGGCUGAUGUUGCUCUCGGGGACCGGUCUCUGCAGGUGAGAGACCGGUUCCCCUGGCUGGGCGUAGCGGGGUUGCGUGAUGCAACCGGUCCCUGGCAGGGAGAGACCGGUUCCCGAACGUGGUCCCAGCGAGAGAUGCCAAAAAUUGGCUAAGUCCUGAAGAUCGAGCUCUCGAGGACCGGUCUCCCAGGCGAGGACCGGUCUCCCGAGGACCGGUCUCCCGGGGAGAGACCGGUUCCCGAACGCGUGCGCCCGAGGGAAGCUCUCGGGGACCGGUCCCAAGUCGGGGAGACCGGUCCCUCCGCGCGAAAACUGCCCAGUGAGGGCAGUGCACAGGAGUGAAAGUUGAGGGGCUUUUAUGCAAAAUGGCCUUUAUUUGAGUGGGCUGAGCCCUCUCUCUCCCUCACACUCUCUCAUUUCACUCUCUCUCACUCUCAUUUCUCUCUUGCUCUCUCUCUCUCUCUAGAAAGGAAAGAAGGAGAAGAAGAACAAGAAGGAGAGGAAGGAAAAGAAGAGGAAGAUAAGGAAGGAGAAGAAGAAGGAGAUCAAGAGGAAGGCUUUGAGCACCUCCAUCUCCCUCUCCUCUUCCCAUUGGAGUAGCUCUUGAGGUAAGCUACUAAACCCUAGCUUCUAGAACUUAGGGUUUUUGGGUUUUAUGCCUUGGAAUGGGUCAAAUGGACCCUAAGCAAGCUUCUAAAUAGAUCAAUCCCAAGAAUCUAGGGAUUUAUGGGGUGGUUUGCUAUAGGUGCAAAUCUAGGGUUCCAAAAUGGGGUUUUUGUAAAAGUAUGAGAUUGAUCUCAUUUGAAGCCUUGGAAACCCUAUUGAUAGGUCCCAAAACGCGGGGGCGAAGUCGAUUUUGGCAUUCGGCGAACCGACGUGAAGUUCUCGGCAAAAUCGGGCCGGGCUAGUGUUGAUUCGGGCGAGGAAGGCUAAAGCCUUUUUGCGAAGCUCGCCGAGAAGAAUUUCCAAAGCCUCUACAUCGAUAAAAAGGUGGGGGGUGUCAUCCGAAACUUUCGAACUCCUUUCUAUGUCUUAGAUUGCAUUUAAUCUCAUCUCUUCAUGUUGCAUUGUAGGAUUGCAUAGUAGCUCCAUUCCUUAUGCUUUCUAAUUGAUAACCUAGUGUACUUGGAACGCUUGGUAACUUAGAUAGGUGAGGAUUGGGUCGAGACGUGAAUCCUAUGGUGCGAAAGAAAAGAGAUGAACCCGAUGGGGGUAUUGAUGACAUAGAAAGUAGUGUUAUUGUUAAAGAACAAACGAGUGGCAUCCAAACAUUGAAUGAUAACGAGUGGCAUUAAUGUAGUGUAAAUAACACUAGAGGUCGAUGGACCUAGGGAUAGGUGGAUCCCUUAGAAAAUGCCUUGUGAACAAUGAAUUUAGAAAACUAAAUAGCAUUGCAUGAAUGUCGGGAACCGAUGAUUCCGCGAUAGUCGUUGACCCUAGUGUAGGGCGUCCUCACUUGGAGAGGAUUCGAUUGGGUUAUUGACUCUAGUUGUAGAGCCUCCUCACUUGGAGAGGAUUGGAUUGGGUGUUGACCCUAGUUACAGUGUAUCCUCACAUGGAGAGGAUAGAUCUAGCUCACAGUCUGCGUUUAGGGUGGCAUAGCCAUCCAAUCCCCACAUGGAGGGGAUUGUCGUCGAGUACUCCGGAGUGUCGCGCGACUAGGACCACUUGGAGGUCCGGACCACAUGGAGGUCCGCAGACGGUCCCGGGCUUGGGUGCACUUGGAGCUCCCUCCCCACUUUGGGAUUUGAAGGUGAGUCAUGGGCGAGCCCUAGGGCCUCGCCACAGAUUGGGUAAAUGAAAAAGGUUAAAGGUUUAUAAAUGUCAUUGAACAUUACUAUUCGAACAUGGAUCGAAUUUGUUAGCAUGGUAGCAAACCUUUAUUAUAUGAUGCAUGCAUUCAUAUUCAUGAUUAUGGGCAUAGUAGCAUAGUUUUCCUACUACUGCAUUUACAGCUUUCAGAUACAUAUCUAUCUAUCUAUCUAUCUGUUGUUACUUGUGCCCACUUGGACCUAGUGGGGAGAUCGGCAGAGUCGGCGGCCGAGCCCACUGGGAACUAUGGAAGAUAGUUCUCACCCCACUCUAUUUCCAGUGGUAGGUUCAGGGCUGCAGAGAGAGGACCGCGGCAAGGGCGUCGCGCCCGACCAGUGAGACCGUGGUAGUAUAGUAGCUUUCCUUUUUGCAUUAGUCACCUAUGUAUUGAGAGAGAUUCUUGUAGGUGAGGUUGGAGAGCUAUGUAUUUUGGAUGAAAAAUGAUGUAAUGAAUGUAACUAAUGUAAUAGUUAGUAAAGUACUCUCUUUAUUUCACUCGUAUAUCUUGUGGAUUACUUGCUCUUCUUGUUGUUGGCACUGUUUGUGCCCUCGUUGAAUGUGUAUGUUUAGAAUUUAAAGUCCUGGGUAAAUUCUUGUACACAUUCCUGUUGUUGAGCCUUGGGCGGACAGGGGAGGUGCUGUCCGUUCGGCGGUCUGUCGCCGCGGCCGAAUCGUGCCAAAUUGGUAGUGAUUUCGGGGCGGGGCGUGACAAAGGUACAAGUAUGAAACAUACAAGUAGAUAAAGAGAGAAAGCUCUAUCUAUUACAUUCAUUCAACUUAAUACAUUUAAUUACAUCUUUUACGUUCUUCCAAAAUAUAAAUACAAGCACUCAACCUCACCCUAUACAACAUCUACUCUCAAGCAUAAAUACAAGGUAGAGCUAAUGCAAAACGGGUGGAUAGCUAAUGCAACUAGGGCGCCGGGCCCUUACCGCGAUCCUCACGCUCGCUGGGGACACCCAAGCUCGAACCUGAAAAGAGUGGGGUGAGAACUAACUUCCUUAGUUCCCAGUGGGUUCGGCCGCCGACUCCGCCGGUCUCCCCACUAGGUCCAAGCGGGCACAAGUAGAUGAACAGAUAGAUAGAUAUUGAAAAGCUAUAAUAACAGAAGAGUAAGCUACACUACCGUGCCCGAAUCAUGUAUAUAAUGUAUGCAUGCACAAUGAAAUAGGUAAUCAACUAGCUCUUCGUAUGUCCAAGAAGUAAAGCUAUUUACUGUUCACUGAUCUCGUGGCUCAUUCAAGGAUCCGCCUAUUACUCACAUAGCCGUCUCGAUACUACGAAUCCGAGACCGUCUGCGGGAUCCCACAUAGGCUAUCCCUCGGGACCCCAAAUAGGCUAUCCCUAUCCCACGGGACCCCACAUAGGCUGUCCCUCGUGACCGACUCCGGAGCGCACUACUUGUGUGGAGCGACCAUCACAAGUCGGGAGCAGACAAUGAGUAUGAUCCAAUUCUCCCACCUCAAGGGUGCCCUAUCCUCUAGGGUUACUAUUGCCAUAGUCAAUGGGUUCACAACAACUAGAUGCCAUUCGUUCUUUUGUUUACUAACAACUAGAUGCCACUCGUUCUUUUGUUUCAAUCCUUGUAUCAUUCUUUCAUCGCCGCACUAUAGGAUUACAAGUCUCGACCCAAUCCACAUCAUUCCCUUAUACCCAGCAGUUCAUACAUAAUAUUGCAUCAAAUAGGAAAGCAUAAGGAAAGGCAAUGCACACUAUCCUAUAAUGCAUGAGAACACAGGAUGCAAGAUCACAAGGUACUAAGACAUAAAAGGGAGCCCGAUUGCUUCGGGAUGGACACCACCCACCUCUUGGCGAUGCCGCGACGGUAGAAAACUCGACGCUGCGGUCCCUGCAUGUCGCUUCAACUCCUCGGGGCGAAGCGAGCCCUCGUGUACUCAAUUCGGCGAUUUCUCCGCACUCGCUUGUCGGAUCGACAAACCGUCUACGCCGACGCGUUCCGUGACCUAGCAAUUAGGUUUGCGACCUAUUAAAAUAGAUCAAAACCCUAGAUUUACCAAAAUCCCAAAUCCGUGCCCUAGAAUGGCAACGAGGGGGAAAUCUAUUGUGCGAGCUUCGAUUGCGAGCUCGAACCAUCUAUUCAUCUCCUCUAGGUUCCAUUUGAACCAAUUCUAAGCAACAAAAACCUCAAACCCUAAAAACACCAUUAGAGGAUUUAGAGCUUACCUCUAAGCCAAGCUCCAAGCUUGCUCUAGCUUGAAGGAAAGAGGGAAGAAGGCCUUCUUCUUCUUCUUCUUGGACUUAUCCUUCCACUUCUUCUCCUUUACCUUCCUCUCCUUUCUCUCCUUCUUCUUCUCCUUCUUUUCUUUCCUAGAGAGAGAGUGAAAGAGUGUGAAAGGGAGAGAGAGCAAAUGAGAGGAAGAGAGGAGUCCCCCAGCCUCUAUUAAGGCCAUUUUGCAGAUAGCCCCCUCAACUUUUCAUUCUCUGAAACAGCCCUCACUGGGCCAUUUUCGCAGUGAGGGACCGAUCCCAGCUCGGGGAGACCGGUCCCCGAGAUUUACACUCUCGGGGCAUAAUAGAAAGCUUUUACUCCUUGUUCGAUAGAUUAAGAAAAAGUGCUCAUUGCAAAGUUAUACUGUUAUGGCGCAACAGAGUAGUCUAAUGUUGUUCAAGUUUUGGUUCUUGCGAACAUUGACAUCGAUUAGUUCCAAAUUUACACUCUCGGUGCAUAAUAGAACAAUAUUAUUAGGUUUUACACUUUAUUCGAUUGAACGAGAAAAAGUACUCGUCGCAAAGUUAUACUGUUAUGGCGCAACUGAGUAGUCUAAUGUAGUUCCGGUUUUGGUUCUUGUGAACGUUGACAUCGAUUCGUACCAAAUUUACACUCUCGGGGCAUAAUAGAAAGCUUUUACUCCUUAUUCGAUAGAAUAAGAAAAAGUACUCGUUGCAAAGUUAUACUAUUAUAGCGCAAUUGAGUAGUUUAAUGUUGUUCCGAUUUUGGUUCUUGUGAACGUUGACAUCGAUUCGUUCCAAAUUAAAACUCUCAGGGUAUAAUAGAACAAUAUAAUUAGGUUUUGCUCUUUGUUCGAUUGAAUGAGAAAAAAUACUAGUUGCAAAGUAAUAUUGUUAGGGCUCAACUGGGUAGUCUAAUGUUGUUCCGGUUUUGGUUCUUGUGAACGUUGACAUCGAUUCGUUCCAAAUUUACACUCUCGGGGCAUAAUAGAACAAUAUAAUUAGGUUUUACUCUUUUUUCAAUUAAAUGAGAAAAAGUUCUAGUUGCAAAGUUAUACUGUUAGGGCUCAAUUGAGUAGUCUAACGUUGUUCCGGUUUUGGUUCUUGUGAACGUUGACCUCGAUUCGUUCCAAAUUUACACUCUCGGGGCAUAAUAGAACAAUAUAAUUAGGUUUUACUCUUUAUUCGAUUGAAUGAGAAAAAGUACUCGUUGCAAAGUUAUACUGUUAUGGCGCAACAGAGUAGUCUAAUGUUGUUCCGGUUUUUGUUCUUGUGAGUGUUGACAUAGAUUCGUUCCAAAUUUAUACUCUCGGGGCAUAAUAAAACAAUAUAA